GUAGGGGGCGAGCGUUAUCCGGAUUUACUGGGCGUAAAGAGCGUGUAGGCGGCUUCCAAAGUUGGCAGUGAAAGGUCCUGGCUUAACUGGGAUAUGCCUGCCAAUACUGGGGAGCUAGAGGGCAGCAGAGGAAAGUGGAACUCGCGGUGUAGCGGUGAAAUGUGUAGAUAUCGCGAGGAACACCAGUGGCGAAGGCGGCUUUCUGGGCUGUUCCUGACGCUGAGACGCGAAAGCGUGGGGAGUGAAGCGGAUUAGAUACCCGCGUAAUCCACGCCUUAAACGGUGGAUACUAGGUAUGGGGGGUAUCGACCCUCUCCGUGCCGAAGCUAACGCCUUAAGUAUCCCGCCUGGGGACUACGGCCGCAAGGCUA
Molecule: ribosomal RNA, 371 nt
Filed under: uncultured bacterium
Lineage: Bacteria
Description: bacterial SSU rRNA
Rfam family: Bacterial small subunit ribosomal RNA
Source: RNAcentral